CAUUAGCUCAGCUGGUUAGAGCAUGGUGCUACUAACACCAAGAUUGUGGGUUUGAUCCCAGUAUG
Molecule: transfer RNA, 65 nt
Filed under: Manacus vitellinus (golden-collared manakin)
Lineage: Eukaryota; Metazoa; Chordata; Aves; Passeriformes; Pipridae
Source: Rfam by way of RNAcentral